RNAcentral lists this ribosomal RNA (422 nucleotides) under uncultured bacterium. RNAcentral's name for it is "partial 16S ribosomal RNA". It matches the Rfam family "Bacterial small subunit ribosomal RNA", at positions 361 to 775 of the family's 1533-position model. The record is from RNAcentral.
AUCUUCCACAAUGGGCGAAAGCCUGAUGGAGCAACGCCGCGUGAGUGAAGAAGGUUUUCGGAUCGUAUAACUCUGUUGUAAGGGAAGAACAAGUACAGUAGUAACUUGUUGUACCUUGACGGUACCGUAUUAGUAAGCCACGGCUAACUACGUGCCAUCAGCCGCGGUAAUACGUAGGUGGCAAGCGUUGUCCGGAAUUAUUGGGCGUAAAGCGCGCGCAGGCGGUCCGUUAAGUCUGAUGUGAAAGCCCACGGCUCAACCGUGGAGGAUCAUUGGAAACUGGGGGACUUGAGUGCAGAAGAGGAAAGUGGAAUUCCAAGUGUAGCGGUGAAAUGCGUAGAGAUUUGGAGGAACACCAGUGGCGAAGGCGACUUUCUGGUCUGUAACUGACGCUGAGGCGCGAAAGCGUGGGGAGCAAACAG